UGUAGCUCAGUUGGUAGAGUGCUUGUCUAGCAUACAUGAAGCUCUGGGUUCAAUCCCAAGCA
RNAcentral lists this transfer RNA (62 nucleotides) under Cricetulus griseus (Chinese hamster). It matches the Rfam family "tRNA", at positions 6 to 65 of the family's 71-position model. Rfam says of the family: Transfer RNA (tRNA) molecules are approximately 80 nucleotides in length. Their secondary structure includes four short double-helical elements and three loops (D, anti-codon, and T loops). Lineage: Eukaryota; Metazoa; Chordata; Mammalia; Rodentia; Cricetidae. The record is from Rfam by way of RNAcentral.